GUAGGGAAUAUUGCGCAAUGGACGAAAGUCUGACGCAGCGACGCCGCGUGAGUGAUGAAGGCCUUAGGGUCGUAAAGCUCUGUUGAAUGGGAAGAAAAAAAUGACGGUACCAUUCGAGGAAGGACCGGCUAACUUCGUGCCAGCAGCCGCGGUAAUACGAGGGGUCCUAGCGUUGUUCGGAAUCAUUGGGCGUAAAGGGUGUGUAGGGGGCCAUGUAAGUCAGGUGUGAAAGCACCGGGCUCAACCCGGGAAGUGCACUUGAUACUGCGUGGCUUGAGUACCGAAGAGGGUAGUGGAAUUCCAGGUGUAGUGGUGAAAUACGUAGAUAUCUGGAGGAACACCGGUGGCGAAGGCGGCUACCUGGUCGAGUACUGACACUGAGACACGAAAGCAUGGGGAUCAAACAGGAUUAGAAACCCGUGUAGUCC
Molecule: ribosomal RNA, 428 nt
Filed under: uncultured bacterium
Lineage: Bacteria
Description: partial 16S ribosomal RNA
Rfam family: Bacterial small subunit ribosomal RNA
Source: RNAcentral